GAUAUAAAAAGUAUACAUAAUAUAUGAAGAGUUUAAAGGCGGCCGUUUGAAGGAAGGGUCAGGGAAAGACUCUUGGCUCCAGGAGUCAGAUGGAAGGGUCUGCGAUGGCAGCAAAUGGCCAGUUCCUACAUUUGCCCAAGGUCAGGGCUGGGGAGCUCCACCGUUCAGAUCCUAGGGGCGUUGUAGGGGUGGACCUUUCCUCCCCAGGUGAGUUUUGAGGGUAUAGAUGAGGGGUGAUGGCAUAUUCCAAGACGGCAAGAAUAGCCCCUUGGUCUUUCCUCUGGGUGUGUUGGGUGUGAGUGGCCCUUUGAGAGGGAGAGUUUGGGGCGUUUGAGGGGCAGAGAGGCAAGCCAGGUCAGCUCCAGGAGGAUGACCCAGAGCAAGGUCCAUUAGGGUAAGUGGGGCAGCUGCCCCACCUGCCUUCAUUACAGCAACCAGUCUGUGUGGGGUGGUCCUGGCUGUCGGCUGCUUCCUCUUAAGUCUCAGUGUUGCCGUUGCAGGGACUUAGCAGGGAAGAGGGAGAGGAGGGCAAAACUAGACUUAAGUUGACUCUGCGCCUCCUUGUCUGUGGCCCAACUCAUAGACUGGGCUCUCUGCUGCGGCCCAGGGCAUGGAAACAGACAAGUGGCCUUGUUGCUGCCCCAGCUGCAAGAAGCAUUGCCUCUUUCAAAUACAUCCUCUUCUCCCAAGCCUUUCUUUCAGCACCAAAAAGGGCAGUCCCUCCCCCAGCCCAAAACAUUAAAAGUUUGUAACAAGUUUUGCAUGAAUCUUCAGUGAUUUACCUUUGCAGGAAGAGCCAGGACUUACUGUGACGUUUGCCUCCCUGCUGCCUUGCAUAGCAACUGAGACUCUUUGUCCCUGAUAAAGGAGCUCCAAACUCAAACUGCUUCCAAAAUUGAAUCCGGAAUAAUGCAAGUCAGAGAAGGGUCUGUGGAAGGGAUCAGUUUUGUCCAUCUGUUAUCUCACAGGGCUCAGGUUAAAAUGGACCCAGAACUGGACCCAGGGCCCCCAAUGCAGCCAGAUCACCUUGCUCCUCACCCCUCUUCCUGGCCUGCCACUCCUGCCGCCACAGCCGGCCCCCUGAAAUUUGGGAUGGGGAGAAAUUCUACAGAGUGUGCAUUUAAAGGUGAGCCCUUCCUCAUUUUGCACUUUUCUGAAACAAUCUGAACCAAUAGACGGCAGCCCUCCUUCAAAAUUCUCACUUCUCCAAACUUUGCAAUUGAGUUCUCUAGCUAGGCGGUGUGUGGGAAAAAUGGAUAUAUUGGUGGAAACAGCACACCAAAACACAUAAGGGGGGAAUUGCUUCUCAAAAUGUUUACUAGUAAAAAUUGCAGAUGAAAAGGUAGGGAAAAUCCACAGUGAAAUGGUGGGUUUUUGUGAGGACUUAGGGGGAAAUCGCAAACUGGUGUUGAAAUGUGGAGGACUGGAUUUAAUAAUGGAAAAAUGAGAAAGUGAGAAGCACUAAAAUGGAUUGGUUUGCCCCCUCCCUUCGUACAAUUGUUUUGUCACCAUCCGGGCUUAGGUGACAGCCCAGCUCAGUGAAAAGUAUUUGAGGGUGAGGCUUUAACAGCCUUUAAACAACUGUUAGGCAUGACUUUGCAGAACUUAAUUGGGGCCUGGGAUGGAUGGAUGGGAGGAUUUUCCCCCAAUGCAGAUCUUUGCCAUUUUGCAAUGCAGUUUUGCACCACUGCAACAGCAGGAGGUGGGGGGGGGGCUUGGAGGCAGCUCUCCCUGCUGCAUGACCCAUUGAGGGGCAAGGAGACCUGCCCUGUAUGGUACCCAGGAGGCUUUGUUACAGCUGCAAUACUAUACUCACUUAACUGGGAGUAAGUCCAUUGAACUCAGUGGAACUUAAUUCUGAGUAGGCAUGCGCAGGCUUGUACUGUAAGCAACUGGGAAUAGUUGUGCUUUAACCUCUGGUGUGUAUAAAAAGAGAUGCUGAGAUUCAAAAGGAGAACCUGCAUUCAUCUCAAACAGUUUGGCAGCAUUUUAGAUCCGGAUUAAUCUUAACGUUUUAAAAUAUUUUGAAAUUUCACUUUUCCAAGUCAGCUCGGUAGGAUGCUCUUCAAACUCUUCCAUCUUGCCGCUGGAUUUUAAUGCAAGUGGGUUAAAAUGUUUGCUCUUCCCAGUGAUGCUUUAAAAACCCUAAAUGCCAUGUCACCUGUGGUUGGAGCUGAGGAAAUAAAUGCAGAGGCUGUUAAUUAAAAACGUUGCAAGCAAAUUCAACUCUGGGGAUUUCCCACCCCCACCCCACCCCUUCCACAUUCAUUUGAGGCCUAGUUAUGACAAAACUUGCUUUCAAUGAGUUUACAGGCAUCAUUAAAUGUGGGCCCCUUAACCUGCAAAGGAAAGGCACCACAAGAGCUGCUGCUUUAUGAGUAUUGGGCUGGGCUAGUUAAUGCAGGAAAGGAUACCUCAGCCUCUUACAACUGGCACCAAGUGAAGGCCUUUCCCUUUGGGACAAUCAGCAAUGCCAGGCACCCAGCGCCACCCAGGUCAGGGCACUGGGGAGACAGGAGACAGAGUGGAGCAACUGCCUCAGGCAGCUGAUGCUGGCAGGGGGCAACACCCCACCCCGUCAGAGGUCAGAACUCUGUGUGCCUCACACAACUAGUUUGGCACCCCUAAAACUACUCUGGUGUCAUGGAGGGCAUUGCCCCAUUGCCAGUAUUGGAAGAAAAUUCAGCUGCCGGUCCAGUUGACCUCUGUAGGUGACAUGGGGAGGGGGCAACUUGGUCUGGCCCUGGGCUAGUGAGCUUCCACAGGCUGGAGCAACAGCCCUUCACCUCUCAGCUCCUGCCCUUGCUGGGGGGGGGGGACGACGACUUCCUGAGGUAGCAGAUCCUCUCCUUGGGGUGUGUGUGGGGGUGUGUGGAUGUUCGUGCGAGAGUGGGUGUCCAGUGCCUGGCGGUCUCUUGGUGCUAUAAAAAUUGUUCAGUGAUCCUGUCCUUGAAUGUAGCUUAUUAGCCAAAUUGAACCCAGUCUUGCAGUGGACGGAACUUUCUCACUUCCCCAUACAGAGUUUUCUGCUGGGCUACGUCAAGGGGGCAGCAGAAACCUUGUUCUGUGCCAGAGGGUGGAGGUGCCUGUGAACCAUGAGGCCUGGCCUGCACCAGCUAAGGUAGCCUGAUGCCCUCUGGUGCCAUGGAAGAGAGUGUGACCCCAUUGCCAACGCUGGGAGUCAGAUCUGGUCAGGUUCUGAAUGUGGGGUGGCAGGGGACAUCCUCAGGCAGGCAAGUGUGUUAGGGCAAGAGCCCUGAGGUCUCCCCUUUGCAGAUGGUAUGAAGAGUGUUUAAGGAAAGUGAGGGAUAAUUUGGGGAGAGGCUAUUGGCUGUAUAAUUGUAGAGUUGGAAGGGUUCCCAAGGGUCGUCUAGUCCAACCCCCCUGCAAUGCAAGAAUUGCAGCUAAAGGAUCCCUGACAGAUGGCCAUUCAACAUUCAGUUGGUGAGUCACAACCCCCACCUGUUGGGCCAGGGACCACUAACACCAUACAUGUGUCCGGCUUAAAAGAUGCGGGUUCUAGAGGCGCCUUUCCGGCAAUGAAGCUGAGAGGGUGAGGAAGAGAGAGUGGUGGGAGAGGCUUGGAGAGGGAGACGGUAGCACUGGGGGGGUUCCCUUAAAAAAUGGAGGACUUUGCAAAGCUUCCAGAGGUGGCUCAGGGCUUCUUGACUGGAUGUUUCCAUGAAUACAGAGAGUGUGCCACAUGCAAAGCAACUUCUAAUUUUGUCAAAUAACCCAGGAUGGAAAUUUUUGAACUAUACAGAACUCUUCCUCGUGUGAGGGUAGGGAACACAGCUUCCUGGGACAAAACCUGGAGUUCUCCCCUCUUUAUAGUUUAUGGGCUGUGUCCAACUAAGGUCCAAGAGUCAACCAGCUUAAAUUCAUGGACCUCUGUUAGUCAUGUCCAUUAAUUUCAAUUGAUCUGCUCUUGAAUAUGAAAAAUGUAUAACCAGUGGCAGAUUUAUAGGUAUGCACAGAAUUAGGGCCCCAUCAGUCGAUGUUGUUAACUGAGGGGAAGCCUUUGAAAUGUGAUGUCAGUGACUCUAGUAUUUUAGUUUGUUGUGCUGUUUCUACUCCCUAUUAAUGUCAGUGUUGGCUGGUCCAUUAGGACAACCGGGUCUUAGCCUGACCACACAAAAUAUCAAGCAUUUUUCAGAAAAAUAUUUCACCCAAAUAUCAUCAUUUGUGCUCCGGCCAAACAGUUCUCUGCACCACUCAGACAAUCUCAGUCCAAAAGCAGCACUGUGGCAAAGAAGUCCUACCCAUCUGUCUCUAGGCAGAAAAACAAAUUGAUAUUAAAUGUGUGUCAGUGGCGCUACUGGCUCUGAGACCUGCUUGUGUAGUUCCCCCUUCAUCCCUCUUGUCCUGAUAGCAGUCCAGCCUGGUUGUCCCAGAGCUCAGAGCUCUUUCUGCUCAGAGCAUGCUCAGAACUGUUUCCUUAAAGGCUACACUACAGUAACAAAGCUCCACACUCAGCUUCCUGUGACCAGCCUUGUGGAUUCUUUAAUGUUUAUUUCAUUGUUUGCAAGCUCGUUCUUAUGCAUGUAGCUCUGUCAUAUUUUCAGGCACAGUCACAUUGAUUUAGGCAAAAUGUAGGGCCCUCCAAAAGGGUCCUGUGGACCAUAAAUCUGCCACUGCGUAUGGGUGCAUUGUAUGCAACACCUUGUCUUCAUUUGCGGAGUCGGUGAAGCUGCCGCCUGUAUGUCCAGAAUCUGAGGAAGAGUUCUGUGUAAUGGGGGGGGGGGAGCCUGCAUCCGGUCUUUUUAGUGGGUCCAGAUAAUAGGGCAACUUUUUAGUUGCUCUGUAGGGCCAGCAAAGCAAAGCAAAAUGGCCCCCUCCCCAGCUGCUCUUUCGGUUCAGCCCUUGCCUGCUCAGUCAGAAACUGGGGGCGCCCCAGCCACACACGGACAUGUGCCCACCCACAGUUCUUGAGCGGUGUUUGCCACUCCUUGAUCCUAAGACACCUUUGGGCUCCUGCAGGUUGUGGGGGAGACCCUGGCCUCCAUUUGUCCAUUUGAACUGCUUCCGACUGAUUGGGAGGGGAGUUGUGUUCCUUUUGUGGUUAUUCUAGGUGGCCAUCUCUGGACCCCACCCCCAAUCCAAAGCCAACUGAACCCAUCUGGGGAUUGGCGGGGGGGGGGUUCUGUGUGUCGGGGGGGGAGAAUCAGCCAUUUGUUUUUGUUUUAGUUUUAAUUUUUUCCCUCCCCACAAUCCUCAGCUGUUUCUCAGGCGGGGCCCACCUGCCCACUUCUACGAGAGUGUAAUGAGCAUUAUUACCAAAUGUAAAUUUAUUUGUACAUUAUUAAUAUUUUAUUUUUAUCUGGGGAGGGGAACAUGCAGAAGGUCAGAAACUCCAUAGGCAAAAACACCCUCAGAUCCAAAACCCUCUUUUUUAAAUAAAUAAAAAAUACUAAUAAUGGUGAUAAUAAAAAGAAUUUGGGGUGGGGUGGGGGAGAUCAGUUCCUUUUGACAAUGAAAUUCCUGACAUUUUUUUCCCAUUUUUUUAAUGGCAUUCCAUUUGGGGUGGAAAUCAGUUUUAAUUUGACUUGAUUUAUUUUGUAAUUGAUGACUUUUUUUAAACGACAAAGGGGAAAAAAUUACCUUUCCUGUUUGUUUGGUUUUUCUGGGGUGGGGUUGGGGGGGAUAAACUGUGAUUCUGCAUAUUUACCCUGUAAAAUUCCUGUAUUCUUCAAUGUUAUUGUAAAGUGUUACUGAUAAAAGAUGAUUAUGAACAAACAAACGAAAAAGUCCAACCCAUGUACAUUUAGCACAAAGGGGAAUACAGUUGAUUCUAUACUUCG
This 5801-nucleotide long non-coding RNA is filed under the name Podarcis lilfordi (Lilford's wall lizard). Lineage: Eukaryota; Metazoa; Chordata; Lepidosauria; Squamata; Lacertidae. The record is from RNAcentral.